UAUAAGGUAUAAGACAAAGAAAAGAGUCAGAGGUGACAUCCUACUUUUUACACAAGCAACUAGAUAGAUGGAUUUACUAUUUAACCAAAAUAUGGAACACUGUGGUGAGGAGCAGGAGAAGAGAGGAAGUUCGGUGUAAAUAUUCUGUUUGAGAUGCCUAUUAAAUACUGAAGUGGAGAUAAUGAGUUGGUAGCUGGAAGUAUGAGUCUGAAGUUUGAGUAGAAGUGUGAGAAGGACAAAUACUUUCAGGAAUCCUUAACAUAUAGAAAGAAUUUGAAGCCAGUGGCCUAGAUAAUAUCAUCAGGGGAGGUGAGGGUAGAUAAACGGUUCAGAGACUGAGUGACCCUAGAUCACUCUAAUUUUAAGAGUGGAAAUAGAAGGAAGCACCCCCCCCCAAAAAAAAAGAGAGAAAGAGACAGCAUAAUGAAUUUUCAAGUUUCGUAGGAAAAAAUCAGACCAAUGUGUGCCUACGAGGCAAGCAAGAAAGUCACUCAAAAGAGUGAGAGCGAUGAAUGCUGUCACAUGUUGCUGAGUCAAGUAAGAAAAUGAAGAGAAUGGGAGAUGAAGUUCUCCUUUAGUUUUGUAGUGCUUAUUUGUGACCUUGACCAGAGACAUUGUGGUGAAGUGAUUCAGGGCAAAAGAUAGUAAAAUAUGUGUGUAUUUUAUAGAGAGGUAAUUUAUAAUUCUCAUAAAUACUCACAUGGACAAUAGUCAGCACUGUGUGAUGAAUGUGCUUUUAUUGCUAGUUAUACAACUGUACCCGAGAGUUUUAUGACUUGGACUCAUUUCACAUUGGAGGAAGGAUUGUACUCUGCUACAUUCAACCUUUCAUAAAACAUGGAAAAAAUCAUGGAAGACAUCUUUAUCAAAUAGGAAAACAGAAACUCAAGAGGACUAAAAAAUAUACUGAAUGGCAAUAGAAAACGUGAAAAAAAUUCAAAAAGCAUAAAAAUGGGACCAAAAUUGAAAGGUUAAAUUUGACGUGAAUAAAUGUCAAGUCUUACAUUUAUCUAUAGUAGAGUCCUGGGCACAUAGAUUGUUGGGGAGACAGAGCCUAAUUCUAGUCCAUCAAUAAAAUGAAGUGUUUAGUAGAUUAUAAGCUUCCUAUAGUCCAAUGAUGUAAGAAGCAGGCAAAAAACUAUAAAAUACUAGUUUGUACUCAAGUAAUUUUACAGAAUUAUUAAAAGGGUUUAGGUUUUUAAAAUUGUUUUUGUUGAUAUGUAAUUUAUAAAACAUUAGUUUAAGGUGUACACCGUAAUAAUUUGACAUUUGCUUACAUUGCCAAAUGAUCACUGCAACAUCCAUCCAUUUUGUAACCGUAUGUAAGUUACAAUUUUUUUUUCCUCAUGAUGAGAAUUUUCAAGAUCCACUCUACUAGCUAUUUUCAAAUAUGCAAUACAGUAUUUUUAACUAUAGUCACUAUGCUGUGAGUUGUAUCCCCAUGAUUUAUUUCAUUACUAUAGAUUUGUGCCUUUACACUGCCUUUACCCAUUUUGUCCACCCCUGAUCUCCCACCUCCCUGCCUCUGGCAACCAUCAGUCUGUUCUCUAUAUCCAUAAGCUUGCAGGGUUUGCUUUUUAUUUUGUGCUUUUUUGAUUUUUAGAUUCCGCAUGUAAGUGAUUUUGUACAAUAUUUACUUUUUCUGACUUAUUUCACUUAGCAUAAUGCCUUCUAAGUUCAUCUAUGUUGUUGCAAAUGUCAAGAUGCCAAUCAUUUUUAUUGCUGAAUAAUAUUCCAUUCUGCAGAUAUACCACAUUUUUUAUCCAUUCAUUCAUCAAUAGACAUUUAGCUUGUUCCCAUGUCUUGACUAUUGUAAUUUAUGCUGCAAUGAACAUAGGGGCAUAUAUAUUUUUUAUUUAAUUCAUGUUUUUGCUUUUGCUUUCUUUAGAUAAGUACCCAGAAAUGGAACUGCUGGAUGAUAUGGUAGUUCUAUUUUUAAUUUUUUGAAAUUCCUUCAUACUAUUUUCCAUAGUGGCUGAACCAAUUUAUAUUUCCACUGUCAUUGUAGGAGGGUUCUCUUUUUUCCAUGUUUGUUAUUUCUUCUCUUUUUAACAAUACCAUUCCAACAAGUGUGAAGUCAUAACUCACUGUGGUUUUGAUUGUUGUUUCCCUGAUAAUUAGUGAUAUUGCAAACUUUUUAUUUACAAGUUAGCUAUCUUGUAUGCCUUCUUUGGAAAAAUGUCUAUUCAGAUCCUCUGCCCAUUUUUUUAACCAGAUAUUUUUCUUGCUUUUGUGUUGCACAAGUUCUUUAUAUAGUUUGAAUAUUAAUUCCUUAUCAGAUAUUUGACUUUGACUUGCAAAUAUUUUCUCCAACUCAAUAGAUUGCUUUUUCAUUUUGUUGAUGAUUUCCUUUGCUAUGCAGAAGCUUUUUAGUUUGAUAUAGUCCUGCUUGUCUAUUUUUUGCUUUUUUGCCUUAGCUUUAGGUUUCAAAUCCAAAAAAAAUCUCCUAAGACCUAUGUCAAGGAGCUUAUUUCCUAUAUUUUCUUCUAGGAGUUUUAUGGUUUCAGGUCAUCUUACAUUCAAGUCUUUAAUCUAUUUUGUGUUGGUUUUGUGUGUGUGUGGUGUAAGAGAGUAUUUCAUUUUAUUCUUUUAAAGAUUUUUUUUUUUUUUUUUAGAUCUUGGGUAAAAAAGAAAAACUUGUGGAAAACUAUGUACUGUUCUGGGCACAAUUUAAGAAUGUUAUUGGAAAACUGAAUUUGAUCCCUAAGUGGCAGAUCUGACCAGUUAAGAAACCAGUUAAUAUUAUGUGUUUGGACUUGUAAAUAACAUGAGCUUUAUGAAUUAACAAAAAUUAUUAACUGAAUAAAUGUUCAAAUUUCAAAUAUUUUUGAGAAAUGUUGGGUUAAAUGGUUUUAUUUCUUAACUUUGGCAUAUCUCAGAAUAUUUGACAAGCAAUAUCCACCAGACAUUUCCAGGAGAAAGAGAAUAUAUUGAAUUUCAAAAAAUAAUGAUAACAGAAUAAUUUUUGCCUAUGGACCAUCUCAUGGUACUAAUAUUCUAUAGAGCAGACUCUGGGAAAUGCCAUGUGAAAAAUAAACCAUUAUGUGCAUUCCAAAGAAAAUCACCUGCUGAGGUAAGAAGUAGAUGGGAAUAAAAUUUUAAACAUCUGAAUGGUAGCGCAGUGCUGUAUACUGUGGAAAAUCAUAUUUAUUUUCCUUAGGGCAGAAAAGGUAAAUACUAAAAAAAGGUAGGUGUUGACUCAGUGUGAAGAACUUGACAAUUUGUGUUAUUUGUAUAAAGACGUAAAGGCUCCAUCACUGAAAUAUUUGAGAACAUUUGCAAGGCUGGAUGGGCAAAAAGCUUAGGAAUUUUCAGAACACUUUUCCUGGAAUUUUGCUGGUGAUCGAUGACAUAUCCAAUUAUUCUCCAGGAUAAUUUCCAAAUUUCAGAUGGUUGAUUUAUGGGGCUUAGUUUUGGAUUAACAUUUUUCUUUUGAUUAAACUCAAAAUAUCCCCACUAUAGAGGACAUGCUAAACCAUUCUCUUACCUCCCCCAAAUUAGUCAGUGUAGGCUCAAACAUUUUAUUUAUUUAUUUCACUUAAGUGAAGCAUACUUCAGAAGUAAAUGGAAUAGAACUCUAAUUAUAUAUUGAAUUUUAAAACAUAUCCAUUUUUAAAAAAUGCCAGUGUGCAAAUUGUAUUAUCAGCUUUGUUUCCUUCCAUUUGCACAAUUAUUUUACAGCUGAUUUGCAGCAUUAAACUUCUUUUAUUUCUAUUGCCUGGUAUUUAUGGGAUAAUUCUCUUUAUGGGAUUGCUGUUUCACGCUUGUCUCAUUGAAGCAAGUUUUUGUAUGUGUCUUAAACUAUAAAUACUUAAAAACUAAAAAUGUUUUAAGAAAGACUGUGAAAUCUUUACACACACACACAGACACACACCUGUCUAUAUUUUUUCCUUAAAGAUUAAGAACCAGUCCAGUCUCACUGGAUUUAGGGGAUGGUUAGACAAAAUAGAUGCUUUAUAUGAAAAACUGUAAAUUUGGAAAACUUCAUCUACUUAUUCAUUCCUUACCAUAUUCAGCAAGAAAAAAUAGAGUGGGUUAUAGAAAAAAAUCUUUAAAUAUUUCCUUUGAGUUCACCUUUAUAAAUGUUAUAAAAUACAGGAGAUAAUUAGAAUAAAGGGAGUAUGGAAAUUUCCCAGUUCCCAGGGUUUUUUCCUUAGGCACACGUUUCACAGAAUGAUCCCCUAAAAUUUCUAUUUCAUUUACAGAAAAUAGAUUUGACAGUGACUCCUUUUCUUCAGUUUCUGCCAGGACUUAAUGGAAUCUCCUUGUUAUCUCUGAAUAGAAAUAUAUUCAAAGAAACUAAUCCUAUACAGCUUUCCCAUUAAAUGGAAUAUUUAAUCAGUGAAAUUACUCAGGAUCCUAUUUCCAGCUCUGGCUAUCUUCUUAGUGCAUGUAGUUUUUUGAUUACUUACACUGUUCCCAAUGAUGGCAGUGACACAGCUUCUGAAUUUUACCAUAAUACUUUCUAGCUAGUCUAAAAACUUCAUGUAUUUCAAGCAUUUGGGUACCAUCAGUACCCCAGUGUUCUAGAUAUAGAGGUGAAACAUAAAUUUGCCUUCCCCAGGCUGUGUAGAGAGUUCACUGCCUUUUUAUCAGUGAAAUAACAUCGCUGAUGGUUUCAAACCAUAAGCACGUUUUUCUACUUUCCCUAAAAAUUUCCCUGUGACUUUUCAGAAAGAUGGCUAAAUAGUCUAAAGAAAAAUGUGUAAAUAUCAGACCCAAAGACUCCAAACUUCACACAUCAGUGUAAGUAGCUAAGCACUUCAAAGCAAAAUUGACCUAGUGCUUAUCUCUAGCCCAGCAGGGCUCACAAAUUUUAAUUUUGAUUCUUAAAUUCAUGAACUCCUGAUAAGAAAUGUGCUCCAUUGGAAGAUAGAAAUGUUAUUGAAAAGCAAGUGCAUGACUGCUUCUAUACAGUAGUCAGGAAAAUUGUUCUCUGCCCUUUGUGUCUCAGACUGAAGCUACUUCAAUAAGCUGGAAGAUUCUUACUCAACUGUGUUUUCCUGCCGACGAACCUGGGUCUAGAGGAUUUUCAAAGGUUAUCAUUUCAUUCCAGCAAAAACAUCCACUUCUUCUAUUAGGUAGACACUCGAAGGUGAUUGUUGUAUUGCUUUGGAUUAAGCUAUAUUAAAAUGGUCAAAUCGGUUAGGUUUAGACUAAGCCAAUAUUAGAGAAAUAAGCAAAGGGUCGAUUUUUUUUUUUUUUCCCCCAUUUCAUGCAGCUUUGUAUCACAGGACACUUUCCCUGUCCACUUUCUUAAAUCCUUUCCCAGAGUCACUGCCUCCUUUGCACACUCUCUUUCUUAAAUAGCAAGACUAAGACCUUCUCAGCAGAAAUAUAAAUAAGGCAGAUUGGAAAUAUACAAGAUAUGUGUUUACCACAUAUGCGUGUGUAUGUGAAUGUGUAUUCUUAAUGAAUACACUUGUUUAUCUUUAGUUAUAAAUUUUGAUCUUUGUUCAAAAUAAUGUUUUUCCAAACAUUCACAUAUUAAAACAAUCAGCUUCAAGAAAGAUUUCUGCCAUGCUAAAUUGUCAGUUUCUUCUAUUUGUGAGAGAUAAUAAAAUAGUGACUGUGUAAAUUGGUUAUGAAGCUGUUUAAAACAAAUUCUCACUUUAAUUCUAUUUAAUCUAUAUACUUUGUAAUCAAACUGGAUGAUAGUCCAGCAAUAUCAUACAUAAUCUAAUAAUUUUAUUUUGUAUCCUCUGUACAAAACUUUUUUAUUAUACUGUGGCUAAGUAAAUUGCACUAUUGUACCUGCAAAGCAGCUUUUUUAGUUAUUCAAUAAAUUACUUGGACUGUAGUUCAAUGCAAUAAUUUUUUUUCAAUAAAAAGCUUAAUGGUAUGAGAGUGUUAGUCACGUAUUUCUAACAAAAAGCAUACCAAAAUAUCAGAACAAAAUCAAAAGCAAAAUGGUAUGAAAAUAAUCUGUAUUUUACACUGCUGAAUUUAAAAUGCAUUCAACAUUUUAUUUAUUAUUGUGUAUAUUUAUAUUAUAUAUUUAAAGGCUGGAAUUUCUUAGACUAUUUCUUAAAACUUUAGUGUUAUAAAAUAAAGCUGUUUCCUCAAACUGAAAAUAAAUGUCUUUAAAAUU
Molecule: long non-coding RNA, 6091 nt
Filed under: Sus scrofa (pig)
Lineage: Eukaryota; Metazoa; Chordata; Mammalia; Artiodactyla; Suidae
Description: lncRNA (ENSSSCG00000056403.1)
Source: RNAcentral